Molecule: long non-coding RNA, 1091 nt
Filed under: Sinocyclocheilus grahami
Lineage: Eukaryota; Metazoa; Chordata; Actinopteri; Cypriniformes; Cyprinidae
Description: lncRNA (ENSSGRG00000007165.1)
Source: RNAcentral
AUUCUUUCAUUGAGUCUGCAUUUAUUAUUUUUCAGAUACUCCUUGUACUUGAGAAUCACAAGUGCUGUGAUCUCCAUUUGCAAAUGUGGCAUGUGAUGAAUAAUUUUGAACAUUAUGCAAAUCUAACUUUUAUUUUGGUCUAAAAUGUAAUUAGUAUAUUUAUAGAGUUUAGCUUAAAUCUGUUUUAUUAAAAAUGUAACAAUUGAUGUGCCUUUGCUAAACCAUGAGUUACAUGCAUAUACAAUCCCAUGAUUCUGUCAUGCAUAAGAGGUUUUCAUAGGCACAAUGUAGAGAACUCUUAUCCAUGGAUAAAUCAGUAUAAUGCACAACAUAUGGAGCUUUAUAAAUUUAUGUAGCAAACUCUUCAGUUUGAUACUAGACUUAAUCUGUCUUGGGUAACCAAUCAUAUGAUAGACAUUAAUGUUUUUUUUGUGUGUGUGCAGGACUCUGUUUCUGCUGACGUGGUUUCUUCUACAGAACAGAUUUUGGAGAAAGCAGAAGCAACAAACUCAAAGGUAGAAGCAGAUACAUCUGUGGCCUCGGGAGCAGGUGUAUCAGAAGCUUUAUCUGAAACGGAUGCCUCAGUGGAAAGCCAGUCUCUCCCUGCAGACAUGGAGCAGGGUGCAUGGAGGGGGGAACAGACGCCACACACCAAUGACACACUCACACACAUGACACUCGUAGACAACACAAAGAAACAUUCAGAGUCACAAGCCCCACCCACAGAAACAGAGGACAUGUUGACCUCACCUAAUGCCAUGACCUCUGAUGAAGGGCUGGGUGAUCAGAGCCUGAGCUCCACAAACACACUAUCAGACAAACCACCUGAGAAACAUUUAAACACUUUGACACACACUACUCCAUCAAAUGCAGAAGACCAUAGGUUAGAGAGCAGAAGCACACACGACACACACACACCAAUUACAGUCAAACCCUGCCUGGAGAGGACAGAGCCACUGGCUGCAAGUGCAUCUUUGGUAAGCACAGAUGCUGAUAGUGAAUCUCCCCCCACUGACUCACACUUGACACAAUUACUCACAUAAAUCUGAGUGUGUGUUGCAUUUUAUCUGCACAUUUCUCUUUGCUCACCA